AACGAACGCUGGCGGCAUGCCUAACACAUGCAAGUCGAACGAGACCUUCGGGUCUAGUGGCGCACGGGUGCGUAACGCGUGGGAACCUGCCCUUAGGUUCGGAAUAACUCCCCGAAAGGGGUGCUAAUACCGGAUAAUGUCUUCGGACCAAAGAUUUAUCGCCUUUGGAUGGGCCCGCGUUGGAUUAGCUAGUUGGUAGGGUAAAAGCCUACCAAGGCGACGAUCCAUAGCUGGUCUGAGAGGAUGAUCAGCCACACUGGGACUGAGACACGGCCCAGACCCUAAGGGAAGGAAGAAGUGGGAAAUAUUGGAAAAGGGGGGAAAGCUGGAUCAAGAAAGGCGGGGGGAGUAAUGAGGGCCUAAGGGUGGAAAAGCUCUUUUACCGGGAUGAUAAUGACAGUACCGGGAGAAUAAGCUCCGGCUAACUCCGUG
RNAcentral lists this ribosomal RNA (432 nucleotides) under uncultured bacterium. RNAcentral's name for it is "partial 16S ribosomal RNA". It matches the Rfam family "Bacterial small subunit ribosomal RNA", at positions 29 to 507 of the family's 1533-position model. The record is from RNAcentral.